RNAcentral lists this ribosomal RNA (460 nucleotides) under uncultured bacterium. RNAcentral describes it as "partial 16S ribosomal RNA". It matches the Rfam family "Bacterial small subunit ribosomal RNA", at positions 338 to 795 of the family's 1533-position model. The record is from RNAcentral.
CCUACGGGUGGCAGCAGUGAGGAAUAUUGGUCAAUGGACGAGAGUCUGAACCAGCCAAGUAGCGUGACGGAUGACUGCCCUAUAGGUUGUAAACUUCUUUUAUAUGGGAAUAAAACGUUCCACGUGUGGGAUUUUGUAUGUACCAUAUGAAUAAGGAUCGGCUAACUCCGUGCCAGCAGCCGCGGUAAUACGGAGGAUCCGAGCGUUAUCCGGAUUUAUUGGGUUUAAAGGGAGCGUAGGUGGCUUGGUAAGUCAGUUGUGAAAGUUUGCGGCUCAACCGUAAAAUUGCAGUUGAAACUGGGAGGCUUGAGUGCAGGAGAGGUGGGCGGAAUUCGUGGUGUAGCGGUGAAAUGCGUAGAUAUUACGAAGAACUCCGAUGGCGAAGGCAGUUCACUGGACUGCAACUGACAUUGAGGCUCGAAAGUGGGGGGAGCAAACAGGAUUAGAUACCCUUGUAGUC